AAACUGCUCCCUAAGUUUUACAACUGUAACAGUUUUGGCUCGCCAAGGCCAAUUUUUGGUAUAAAUAAAUAACACGUGGCACUUCACUUAGGGUGCCACGUCAGCGUAGUCUGAGUCAAAAUUGGCCUUUGGACCAAAACUGUCACAGAUGUAAAACUUAAGGGGCUGUUU
This 171-nucleotide microRNA precursor is filed under the name Medicago truncatula (barrel medic). RNAcentral describes it as "MIR2619 microRNA precursor family". It matches the Rfam family "MIR2619 microRNA precursor family". The record is from Rfam by way of RNAcentral. Lineage: Eukaryota; Viridiplantae; Streptophyta; Magnoliopsida; Fabales; Fabaceae.